Molecule: ribosomal RNA, 301 nt
Filed under: uncultured bacterium
Lineage: Bacteria
Description: partial 16S ribosomal RNA
Rfam family: Bacterial small subunit ribosomal RNA
Source: RNAcentral
CAGUAGCCGCGGUAAUACGAGGGGGGCAAGCGUUGUUCGGAAUUAUUGGGCGUAAAGGGUGCGUAGGCGGCUUGACAAGUCUUGUGUGAAAUCUAUGGGCUCAACCCAUAGUCUGCACGGGAAACUGUCGGGCUUGAGAAUGGGAGAGGUGAGUGGAAUUUCCGGUGUAGCGGUGAAAUGCGUAGAUAUCGGAAGGAACACCUGUGGCGAAAGCGGCUCACUGGACCAUUUCUGACGCUGAUGCACGAAAGCUAGGGGAGCAAACAGGAUUAGAUACCCGGGUAGUCCCUGUCUAUUAUAC